GAUCGAGUGUUUGCCUUGGUUCAGAGGUAGGUUUUGGAUAUGUUAUUUUUCGUGCUCUUUUUUUGGGAUCUGAUCUAUUGAUGGUGGAUCUUAGCGUUGGACAAAAAUUUGCAAACCAAUUAAUCUGACCUAUCCACGAGGCCUUACAACACAUAUUAGUUUGACAGAUUUUUUGGAUUAUCGGUUUGGCCAGGAAUGGGUUUAGAUGGGUUAUACCAGCCAAAUUCAGAUGGGUUGUUUGGGACCAACGAAAUCCAGAAUCGACCGAUCCUGUAUGAUGGUUAUUAGUUUGUGAGAUUUUUUUUGAGGUUAAGUAG
Molecule: long non-coding RNA, 317 nt
Filed under: Lathyrus oleraceus (garden pea)
Lineage: Eukaryota; Viridiplantae; Streptophyta; Magnoliopsida; Fabales; Fabaceae
Description: Pisum sativum (pea) long non-coding RNA (PSAT_LNC020578)
Source: RNAcentral